UUGGUGAUAAACAUCUUUAUAUACAUAAUAACGAUUUAACUACUGGGCUUUAAAAUAUGCCUGGGAGCAUCGAUAUACUGAUAGUAGAUAAAAUUAACGACAUCCCGUAUGUAUGGGCAGGCUCAUAUAAACAUCCAGUAAUUAUCUACUUAGUCAGUGGUGGGGUAUCAAUUAAAUUUCACACGUAAAAAUUACCGUAACACCAUAUGUUAUUACAGUCGUCAAAUGAAUGACGGCAAUAACAUAUUAUUAUUAUAUAAAUAUUAUUAAUAAUAAACAUGGGCAUGUAUACUGUCAGUCAGUCAGUCACUCAUGGGACUGGUUUGUUAUUAAUCAAUUUCAUGUUUAAGUGGUGGAUGACCUCAGUGAUUUUCAGGAAACAGCAGUGUAUUACGAUCUCGCUAAAUCCUUUGAUCGUAUGAUUGAUAAGCUUCAAUUAUGAAUACAUACCACAGGACUAGAUUAAAUAAUGAACGAGUGACACAAAACCUUGUAUUGGAAUAUAUGAUACAUCACAGGAAUGAUAUAAUAGAAUGAUUUUUGCUGAUUUAAAUAAUAUAUAAAAAACGUUAAAAGUGUUAAGAAUUUUUGAAAUAAUGGCAUUUUUAAGUAGCGGUUCUUAAGGCCAUCCCCCAUUUAAAUGUCCGAUAAUUAGUACAAUUUUGAUAGAAAUUUGGGGUGAUAAAUAGUACAAAUUAAUGGCUUAAUAGAAUUUUGGUACAUGUAAAACAUUGAAUUAGAAACACCUUGUGCGUGGCCAGACCAUUUCCUCCAAUUAUCACAAAUAUUGGAUUUAAUAUAAAAAUGGGUGACAAACAAUACCAAAUAUUAUAAUAGAAUUUUGUAUUAUUUAAAAUAUUCUAUUAAAAUCAAUUACUAAUCUUAACCACAAAAACACUGUUAAAUUUUAGGGUUCGAUGGAGAUUCAAUCAACGUGACUUAGUUUAGAUUAAGUUAGGUUAGGUUAUAAUACUAGUUUGAUUGACAUACAUAUUUUCUUAGGUUGAGAUUUACUAUAUCCAGAUAACUGUGAAGAAUUUUAAGAAAAAAUAAGAUUGCAUGUCAUCUGCAUAUGCCUAAGUAUAAACUAGAAAUAAUAUCAGGGCUCUGAGGUACUCCAGAAUUAAUCUCCACUUUUCAUUACUCAUCUAAAACCCAUACUAUUAAUAAUUAUUAUUACUAUUGUUAGUUAUUUUUUAAUAAAACAACAAACAGUACAUGUAAUGACGCGACAUUAAUUGCGCAACAUGUUUACAAUUUUCGCAGCAUCAAUAGUUUGUUCCAGAAAUUGAUAAGAUUGUUGUCAUCACGAGUGGUACUACUUUCACGUUUCUCGUACGUAAAUAUCAUGUUUAUCCAGCGAACGUAAAUAUUUUCGCUUUCAAAAAAAGCGUCAUCAUUAGGAUGUAGUAAGAUUAAGCAAAAAAACACUGUACGUCGUUGUCGGAAAAGAAAAAUCAAGGGCAACUAACUGAAGAAAAAUGUUAAUUUUUUACUUCCUCCAGCUCGCAGCGAAACAAGGUAUAAAAACGAUAUUAGGCAACCAAUGGCUGUGCUACAGGUUUUAUUCGACAUAAGAAAACACAAUAAUUCUUCUAAUAACUUCCUUUAUGUGAAGGUUUACAGUUUUUAUCCACCUUUAAUAUAUCCGGUGUUGUUUUACGUGUGACACCAAACUUGUUUAUCCAGCAGCGCCAUCUUGAGCCACUGAUUUAUGACCUACCCCCGAAAUUUCACUAAUUACUCCAAUCAAAACAAUAUUAAAGGCAAUGGGCGUAAAAGGGUAUCUGAAGGCGGAACAAAAGGGCCGCUGAAAAAGGGCAAGAACGGAAGUACCGGAAAUAAAAACUGACGAGACACUUAUCUUGGGACUCUAAAUCAGUUCUAUUGUACACGGCUCAAUAGGGAGGAAGUGAAUUCAUGAUGCAGGCUCGCACUUUUGAAUAAUAUUUAUGUAUACAUGGGUUGGACUUAGUAGAAUUGUUGGAAAAUUUAUUGAAUAUUUGCAAGGGCUUAUUUAAAAUCAAAGCAACAAUAAGACCAAACCGUUUUUCUUUAAAAAAGAUAUAUAGGGUCAAAGUUGAGUCAUUUGAAUUCGUUAAAAGAAGUUUUUUUCAGUUUCAUAAAAAAAAUUUUUAUUAACUUAAAUGAUUGCUGUUUUUACAAAAAUUGUUCAAAAUUGUCCCCAUUUGUUCAAUUAACACGAAUCUUUACAAGCUUCGAAAAUAAAAUCCUGGUGUCCACGAAUUAAAUUACAAGAAUUUUGUGCUCUUGUUAGUGCUUCUGGAGUAUUGACUGCUUCAUCAUGAAAGACAAACUCGUUUAAAUAGCCCCACAGAAAAAAAUCACAAGGCGCUAAAUCUGGGUAUCGAGGAGGCCAAUAAAUGGGUCCAUCUAUUCGGAAACUCAUUAUUCAUGAACUUCUCGUCUAAAAUGUGGUGGAGCCUUAUCAUGUAGGAACCACAUAUUCUGUCUCACAUAAUUUUAAUAAUUGUGGCAGGUCGUGUCGAAGAAAAUCUAAAUAAAUUUCACCAGUCAGUCGAGGUGUAUACCAAUAAACGUGCCAUUUAUAGGUCCAAUAAGCAGACUUGGGAUAAGUCAUAGGAACUUACCUCCAGAGGAUCGAAUUGCUCUUAACAAGGAAUAGGUAUAUAUUUUCCAUGAUAAGUUCUAAACUAUCAACGAUAAUUAAAAACGAUUAUCAACAUCUCCUAACAUAAUGUCUAAGGAUAUUUAUUAGGGCUAUGAAACGCUUUAAUAGACUACGAUUUCCUAGACUUAUACCAAGUCAUGGGGACCUACUUCCAAAGGAUCGAGUUGCUCUUAACUGGGAAGAGGUAAAUAUUUUCAAACAUGAUUGUUGUGGAAAUUUUGCACUUCAUCUCUCCUAAAUGUGACCUUAUCUGUAAACAAAGUUAAUAUCGUAAAAUCUUCAUUGAUGCCGAACUGUUCUAAAAGACAACUGACAAAAUACAACUCUUCUAGGAUGAUCUUCAAGUUGUAACGCUUGUACCCGUUGAUAUAAUGAUAAGGAUAAUACUGUUCUUAUCGUAUUGUCUUUCACUAUGAGAAACAAUUUGAGCUGCUAUGGCUCUAGUACUCAUUGUUCGGUCAUUUCUAGAAUGCCUUCCUCAAUUUGCAACAUUUUCAGCCUGAUAUCCUCGUUGUUAUUUUAAAUACCGAAGUCCAAUGAUGACAUUUACAAACAUACGAGGAACUGGAUGAUUUCUUAAAGGAAACCUCCAUAGGGAUUUAAGAAAUACUAUCUGGCCAAGCAACAAGAUGGUGAGGCGUAUAUUAAGCGAACGCAUGACACAACCCAGUAAAAAUGUUAAUGACCACCUCGUCGCUGUUUCGCUGCUGAGGAUUUGAUAAUUACGAAGAAAAAAAGAGAUUAAAGUCCGGCGAAAUAUCGCCUAAUGAUACUGCCGGAGUUGUUCUUGUGUCACACUCAGGUCAAUACACGGCUAGAUGUAAAGUAAUUGGACGGUUUACGAAUUUAAUCGGAGUUUCUAUAAUAAAAGACCAAUUACCACCUCACGUCGCCGGCCCCUGAGCCUUUCAAAAGGCUUAAGAAGGAAGAGUCUACUCCGUGAUCAGCAAACGACACGGGAAAGUGUUGGAGGCGGUCGGAAUGGACGAAAAAGAAAAAGCGUUUCUUGUGCAAGCCCAAAUUCCCGUCAUCGAGAGUGAAGGAUUUGCUGGGG
Molecule: long non-coding RNA, 3707 nt
Filed under: Anthonomus grandis grandis
Lineage: Eukaryota; Metazoa; Arthropoda; Insecta; Coleoptera; Curculionidae
Description: uncharacterized LOC126749212
Source: RNAcentral